RNA transcript from Triplophysa dalaica, 1631 nucleotides. It is a transcript of the gene named sodium channel subunit beta-4-like, with no coding region annotated. The transcript is spliced from 4 exons. The record is from RefSeq and is a predicted model, not a curated record. Lineage: Eukaryota; Metazoa; Chordata; Actinopteri; Cypriniformes; Nemacheilidae.
GAACAGGUGAGAAAUCUUCUGUUGUAUUUUACAUGAUGUUUUUCAUCAGGAGUGAGGAAAACUUAUUUCAGCCACCCCUUUUUUUGCAUCCGUGGGCUAGCUGGUCUGCCAAAAUUCACAGAAACCUUUCUCAGACGCUGCUUCAUCUUUGGAUUUGGAGUGAUAAUAUACAUCUACACUGCGGAUGCAGUGCAUCGAAAGACAACAGCUGAGGGGGUUACUGGAGGUUCUGUUCUCUUGCCAUGUUUCACGAAUAAAAGUGAGCACAAACUUCAAGACAUUGAAGUGACUUGGAGAUAUAAUGACAAACAGAAUGUGUAUGAAAUAAUUAAGGGGAAGAGUUCAGUAAAAGAUCAGGACCAAAAGUACAAGAACAGAAUUGACACUUUCCCUGAGGAGUUUGCGAAAGGAAACUUCUCGCUCCAACUCAACAGUCUUACACAUAGUGAUGCCGGAGAGUAUCACUGCUUCAUCAAACAUUCACAUGAAGCUGUGACCAUAAAACUUCACAUUAUUGAAUCAACAGGAGAAAAAGACAAUCUAUUGUGGUUGAAGAUUUCAAUUCCUGUACUUUUUUGUGUUUUGGUGCUGACAGGUUGUGUAUUUAAAAAAUGGUGUUUUAAUGCUGCCAGAUGGGAUAUCCGCUCCUGGAGGGUUAGAUAGAACACUUUGUCAGACCCACACAACAACAGAAUAGGUUGUUUGUCAACUUACAAGACCCCUAGAAAUGUUAAAUAAGAGCUUUUGAUGGCUUUAAAGUUUUAUGGGGUUUUCGUCUGAUGUAACGUAAAAACGUUUACACAUUACUUUAUGUACUGCAUGAACAAACCCACAACUUGAUUGGUACCAAAACAUUAUUUAAAUUUAAAGUUCAGUCAACUUAUAAAUAUGUUUUUUCAGUUUAUGUUCAGAUUUAAACGGUAUGUUUUAUCUGACCUGAAGUGUUUGACGUUUCUGUCAUGAUUCUUCCUCAUCAUGUCAUGUUUUCUUGAUCAUGGCAGGAUCCCUUGUUUAAUGUGGAGAGAGGUAUUUUGACCCAUUGGCUGUUCCAUAUGCUCUCUCGGGUCUCUUCUCUGUUCCCACCAUCUUGUCUCCUCCUUAUUGAUUGUUUUUGCUCAUGCCCCAUACCUGUCCCUCUUGAUUCGCUCCCCUUUAAAAUGCCCUCGUGUAUAUUAUCCUGUGCUCGUUCGUUUUGCUUGUUUUGGAUGUUUGAUUUCUACAGUCUUGUUUGUCUUUGCUGUGUUAAACUUACUCGUUGAAUUACCUUACACAUAGGAUGUUCAUUGUUAUCUAGGCGUGUCUUAGUUUUUUGUAAGUUGUUACUAUGCUCUCUCUAUUGUUUUUGCCCCCUUGUAGGGAGUCUUUGUUUUUGUACUUUUGUUAAAUAACUAUAUCUUUGUUAACCCCUCCACCGCUUCUGCCGGCGCUUGGGUUCUCUCCCCUCUUGAAUUUGUAACAGUUUCCCCACAAACUAAAGAAGAGCUUGAAAAAUCAAUAAGAUGCGAUUUAUUUUGCCACCAUUUUAGUUGUUCUGUUACCUGAAACUCUGGUGGAAAGCAGUCCCUUCACAAGUAUUACAGCCCCUUCAUGUCCAUCUUAAAUAAAAUGUCUGUGAGUGUUGGCCUAAUGGG